UGCUCAGCAACUCCUAUCCCUACCUCCUCAUGGUACGAGUAACCUUGGGGAAGAUCGGGUAACCAACUCCCGGUUGGAACUUUGGUCGUAUGCUGACAGGGAAGG
Molecule: ribozyme, 105 nt
Filed under: Aedes aegypti (yellow fever mosquito)
Lineage: Eukaryota; Metazoa; Arthropoda; Insecta; Diptera; Culicidae
Description: drz-agam-1 ribozyme
Rfam family: drz-agam-1 ribozyme
Source: Rfam by way of RNAcentral